Molecule: ribosomal RNA, 869 nt
Filed under: Zasmidium sp. ZJUM 111
Lineage: Eukaryota; Fungi; Ascomycota; Dothideomycetes; Mycosphaerellales; Mycosphaerellaceae
Description: eukaryotic LSU rRNA
Rfam family: Eukaryotic large subunit ribosomal RNA
Source: RNAcentral
CCGCUGAACUUAAGCAUAUCAAUAAGCGGAGGAAAAGAAACCAACAGGGAUUGCCCUAGUAACGGCGAGUGAAGCGGCAACAGCUCAAAUUUGAAACCUGGCGCUUGCGUCCGGAUUGUAAUUUGUAGAGGAUGCUUCUGGGCAGCGGCCGUUCUAAGUUCCUUGGAACAGGACGUCAUAGAGGGUGAGAAUCCCGUAUGUGACCGGCGCGCACCCUCCACGUAGCUCCUUCGACGAGUCGAGUUGUUUGGGAAUGCAGCUCUAAAUGGGAGGUAAAUUUCUUCUAAAGCUAAAUAUUGGCCAGAGACCGAUAGCGCACAAGUAGAGUGAUCGAAAGAUGAAAAGCACUUUGGAAAGAGAGUUAAAAAGCACGUGAAAUUGUUGAAAGGGAAGCGCUUCCAACCAGACUCCGCGGCGGUGUUCCGCCGGUCUUCUGACCGGUCCACUCGCCGCCGUGGGGCCAACAUCGUCUGGGGCCGCCGGAUAAGACCGGAGGAAUGUAGCUCAUUGAGUGUUAUAGCCUCCGGUGAUGCGGCGCGUCCCGGGCGAGGUCCGCGCUUCGGCAAGGAUGUUGGCGUAAUGGUUGGCAGCGGCCCGUCUUGAAACACGGACCAAGGAGUCUAACAUCUAUGCGAGUGUUCGGGUGUCAAACCCCUACGCGUAAUGAAAGUGAACGGAGGUGGGAGCUUCGGCGCACCAUCGACCGAUCCUGAUGUCCUCGGAUGGAUUUGAGUAAGAGCAUAGCUGUUGGGACCCGAAAGAUGGUGAACUAUGCCUGAAUAGGGUGAAGCCAGAGGAAACUCUGGUGGAGGCUCGCAGCGGUUCUGACGUGCAAAUCGAUCGUCAAAUUUGGGUAUAGGGGCGAAAGA